GAGUUGGGGAUAAGCCAUGCGAGUCGACACAGCAAUGUGUGGCAUACGGCUCAGUAACACGUAGUCAACAUGCCCAGGGGACGUGGAUAACCUCGGGAAACUGAGGAUAAACCGCGAUAGGUCACUACUUCUGGAAUGGGUAAUGACCCAAACCUAUAUGGCCCCUGGAUUGGACUGCGGCCGAUCAGGCUGUUGGUGAGGUAAUGGCCCACCAAACCUGUAACCGGUACGGGCUCUGAGAGGAGGAGCCCGGAGAUGGGCACUGAGACAAGGGCCCAGGCCCUAUGGGGCGCAGCAGGCGCGAAACCUCUGCAAUAGGCGAAAGCUUGACAGGGUUACUCUGAGUGAUUUCCGUUAAGGAGAUCUUUUGGCACCUCUAAAAAUGGUGCGGAAUAAGGGGUGGGCAAGUCUGGUGUCAGCCGCCGCGGUAAUACCAGCACCCCGAGUGGUCGGGACGUUUAUUGGGCCUAAAGCAUCCGUAGCCGGUUCUACAAGUCUUCCGUUAAAUCCACCUGCUUAACAGAUGGGCUGCGGAAGAUACUAUAGAGCUAGGAGGCGGGAGAGGCAAGCGGUACUCGAUGGGUAGGGGUAAAAUCCGUUGAUCCAUUGAAGACCACCAGUGGCGAAGGCGGCUUGCCAGAACGCGCUCGACGGUGAGGGAUGAAAGCUGGGGGAGCAAACCGGAUUAGAUACCCGGGUAGUCCCAGCUGUAAACGAUGCAGACUCGGUGAUGAGUUGGCUUAUUGCUAACUCAGUGCCGCAGGGAAGCCGUUAAGUUUGCCGCCUGGGGGAGUACGGUCGCAAGACUGAAACUUAAAGGAAUUGGCGGGGGAGCACCACAAGGGGUGAAGCCUG
RNAcentral lists this ribosomal RNA (855 nucleotides) under uncultured crenarchaeote. RNAcentral's name for it is "bacterial SSU rRNA". It matches the Rfam family "Archaeal small subunit ribosomal RNA", at positions 36 to 897 of the family's 1478-position model. Lineage: Archaea; Thermoproteati; Thermoproteota. The record is from RNAcentral.